AUAGUUCACGAUGUUUUCCCCUGGAGAGCUAAUUGUUAAGCAUUUACCAGCACACUGCACCUUUGCGUCGUUAGUAAAAAUACAUCUCUAAGAAGAUCUUGGGUGCCACAGUUGGAGGAUAUGCAGUAUUUUAACACUCACUAGCCCAACGGUCACUUGCUGGGGAAACUGAGACCCAGAAGAGACAGGAUGUCAGCUCCAUGAGGUUGGGGACCUUGCCUGUUGUAUUCACUUCUAUCUCCUAGAACAGCGGCUGGCACAGAAGCAGGUCAAUGCAGAGGAGAACACUGAGGCUCAGAGAAGUUCAGUAACUUGGCCAAGGUCACACUUCCCUAUUUCCACUUUUGGACUAGUAGUCAAGCACUUAUCCCCCAGAGCCUCCAAGAAAAGGCUGUUGGACCAAGAUGCCCCAGUUGGACAAGGUCUUGGCCAAACAUCCAUCUCCAAAGGCCCGGGAGAAGAAGCUGGUGGGCAGAGCUGCCCCAAUUCAAUCCAGUUGAACUUCCAUCUGCCUUUGCAAGGACUCAGGGCUCAAAGGCAAAACACUGGUAAGCUCCUGAAGCUGGGGCAAGGACAAAAGAGAGCUAAUUAAGACUGAAAGCAAGACAAGGACCCCAAGCACUGCCUCCUUUUACUUUAGAGAGACCAGAUAGUCUUACAUUUCAGUCAUUUAUUUGCAGACAUCUAUAAUGGCAUCUUCAAGAGACCUGUGUGCACCUUGUCUGAGUUGAAGUACACACCCUGAAGAGGAGCCAGUUAUGAAGGACCAAAUGCACAUAUUAAAAUUAAACAUCACAC
This is a long non-coding RNA of Homo sapiens (human), 798 nucleotides long. The record is from Ensembl. Lineage: Eukaryota; Metazoa; Chordata; Mammalia; Primates; Hominidae.